GAUGAACGCUGGCGGCGUGCUUAACACAUGCAAGUCGAACGGUGAAGCAGGAGCUUGCUCUUGUGGAUCAGUGGCGAACGGGUGAGUAACACGUGAGCAACCUGCCCCUGACUCUGGGAUAAGCGCUGGAAACGGCGUCUGAUACUGGAUAUGUGAUGUGACCGCAUGGUCUGCAUCUGGAAAGAAUUUCGGUUGGGGAUGGGCUCGCGGCCUGUCAGCUUGUUGGUGAGGUAAUGGCUCACCAAGGCGUCGACGGGUAGCCGGCCUGAGAGGGGGACCGGCCACACUGGGACUGAGACACGGCCCAGACUCCUACGGGAGGCAGCAGUGGGGAAUAUUGCACAAUGGGCGGAAGCCUGAUGCAGCAACGCCGCGUGAGGGAUGACGGCCUUCGGGUUGUAAACCUCUUUUAGCAGGGAAGAAGCGAAAGUGACGGUACCUGCAGAAAAAGCACCGGCUAACUACGUGCCAGCCGCCGCGGUAA
This 484-nucleotide ribosomal RNA is filed under the name uncultured bacterium. RNAcentral's name for it is "partial 16S ribosomal RNA". It matches the Rfam family "Bacterial small subunit ribosomal RNA", at positions 28 to 523 of the family's 1533-position model. The record is from RNAcentral.